Molecule: long non-coding RNA, 1439 nt
Organism: Paramisgurnus dabryanus
Lineage: Eukaryota; Metazoa; Chordata; Actinopteri; Cypriniformes; Cobitidae
Source: RefSeq, a predicted model, not a curated record
GAAUAAAGUAAAAGAGCGAGAGAAUGGAAAUGGGAGACAGUGAAAGAAGGAACGAGAGAACAAGAAGAAAAAAUAAAGUAAGAGAGCGAAAUAAUGGAAAUAGAAGGCAGAGACAGAAUAAGAGAGAGUAAGAUAACAAGAGGAAUAAAGUAAGAGAGCGAGUGAGAGAAUGAGAGGAAUAAAGUUAAAAAAUGAGAGAUUGGAAACGAAGGGCAGAAAGAGAGAUAGAGAGAUUGGAAAUGGAAGGCAGAGAGAGAAUGAGAGAGAGGAGAUGAGUGAAAGGGAGGGAGGAGUAUCUGGAGGCUGAUGAUUCUGUCUUACAUCACUGAGCAUCUCUUGGUAAGAACAGAAUCCUUACAGUUCUAACUGGUUUGUAAAGAUUCAAUCAGAACCGAGCCUGCACGACUCCUCAAUGAGUGCACACUAAAGAUCAACAGCAAUCUAGGUUUGGCCAACAUAAAAGCAACCAAUAGCAUUGAGGGACUGCUGCACAUUGCCUAAAGACACAGCUGAUUCACCUUCACAGCACAACAAAAAUACCUUCGCAACCUGAAACAUGGAGAGCACAGAGAGUAAAGCAUCCACCAUUUCUCCACAGAAACAGACGGUAAAAAACAGAUCCAAGUCCACGGAUGAAGUACAGCAAGCCAAAAAGGCCUUUCACACACCACAGAAAUCUCUCCCAGCCAAAUCCGAAACUGAAAAGCUGGAGGAGGCCGCAGAACUGAACGCCUCAUCAGAGGAGUUCAAAUGAUUGCUGGAUAGAAACUUUGGGGCUUUGAGACUUAAAUCAGCAGGAAUUAUGGGUAAUAAUGAGAGGGGGAUUCAGUCUGUCUGUUUAUACCAUUAUGACUCAGUUUUACAAGUGUAGCUGGCAUAAUCACAAGUCGUUUGGAAAACAGCCAACAGCAAUCAUGUGUAGCUUCUUAAUUUGUAUGAGUGUGAUAAUGUAUUAAUAAAUAAAGAAAUGCAGAACUGGAUCACGGUGCACUAUGUCUGUAAUGCAAAUGUAAUUCAGUGUAAAGCGGCUUGUGAUAAUGAAAUAGACAAAACCUUACAUAUAUUAGUAGUAUUUGUACUGUAAGUUAUUUGUGAAGCUGACUGUGAAAUCCAUGCUAAAUUCUCAUUAUGUUAUUUAGAUUAUUUACAUUUAUUUCAGUCUUUGACAUUUAACCAAUCUUUGUCGUUUAAAAAAAUUUCAAUGCAGUUAAAAUAAACUUUCAUUUGCUUUAUAUUAAUUCUAUGUACUAACAUUAACAAAUAUUAAUAAAUGCGGAAAACGAUAUUGCUUGUGAGUUCAUAUUGGCUAAUGCAUUUACUAAUGUUUACAAAUAAAGUGUUAAUGUUUUUAGUUUUUUAAGCAUAACAUUUGUUUGAAUUAUGCCAGAUUUUAUACCAAAACAAAAAACAUUUUUAAAUAGAGUAAGAGGAAAUUAUGU